GUUUGAUCCUGGCUCAGGAUGAACGCUAGCUACAGGCUUAACACAUGCAAGUCGAGGGGAAACGACAUCGAAAGCUUGCUUUUGAUGGGCGUCGACCGGCGCACGGGUGAGUAACGCGUAUCCAACCUGCCCACCACUUGGGGAUAACCUUGCGAAAGUAAGACUAAUACCCAAUGAUAUCUCUAGAAGACAUCUGAAAGAGAUUAAAGAUUUAUCGGUGAUGGAUGGGGAUGCGUCUGAUUAGCUUGUUGGCGGGGUAACGGCCCACCAAGGCGACGAUCAGUAGGGGUUCUGAGAGGAAGGUCCCCCACAUUGGAACUGAGACACGGUCCAAACUCCUACGGGAGGCAGCAGUGAGGAAUAUUGGUCAAUGGACGAGAGUCUGAACCAGCCAAGUAGCGUGCAGGAUGACGGCCCUAUGGGUUGUAAACUGCUUUUAUAAGGGAAUAAAGUGAGUCUCGUGAGACUUUUUGCAUGUACCUUAUGAAUAAGGACCGGCUAAUUCCGUGCCAGCAGCCGCGGUAAUACGGAAGGUCCGGGCGUUAUCCGGAUUUAUUGGGUUUAAAGGGAGCGUAGGCCGGAGAUUAAGCGUGUUGUGAAAUGUAGACGCUCAACGUCUGCACUGCAGCGCGAACUGGUUUCCUUGAGUACGCACAAAGUGGGCGGAAUUCGUGGUGUAGCGGUGAAAUGCUUAGAUAUCACGAAGAACUCCGAUUGCGAAGGCAGCUCACUGGAGCGCAACUGACGCUGAAGCUCGAAAGUGCGGGUAUCGAACAGGAUUAGAUACCCUGGUAGUCCGCACGGUAAACGAUGGAUGCCCGCUGUUGGUCUGAAUAGGUCAGCGGCCAAGCGAAAGCAUUAAGCAUCCCACCUGGGGAGUACGCCGGCAA
Molecule: ribosomal RNA, 890 nt
Filed under: uncultured bacterium
Lineage: Bacteria
Description: bacterial SSU rRNA
Rfam family: Bacterial small subunit ribosomal RNA
Source: RNAcentral